GCAGUCUGUUUCAGCAUGCCCUCCCGGUGACUCUGAUGCCAUCUGGAACUCCAGAACUGCUGCUCCUGAGGAGGAUGACGGCCCAGGGAGGUGUUUCCCUUCUUGCAUUGUUGAUUUCUUAUUUAUGCAGCUUCUGGCUCCUUCCCCAAAGGAUGCUGAGGGGUUGGUCUUAAGCAGCGUUGCCUUCCAGCCGACUCAGGAGCCCAGCGGUCAGUGGGCAUGUGACAGAAGAGUCAUAGGUUUUAACCUUUGAGGGGAUAGAGCUGCCAAUCAAAUAAUGUGAUCAGGACAAGUCACGACGUGAGACCACCAUCCACCUGCAGACGUGGGAGAGGGGCACAGUGUGAACUCCCGAGGUGUUUCAUUUUGAAAAUACACUGACAUUAGCCAACCCUGCCCCCUUAAAAGUCCUAGAAAAAGUGGCCACCUCUGUAGCCUAACACACAGAUUGUGGUCUUGAAAUGCCAUUUCCCAUUUUUUUGAAAAUUAAAAAACCAGGGUUUCUCAGAGACAUAGCUGAUUCCAGGGCUGGAAAUGUACAAGAGAAGGCUGGAAUAUUUUGUUUUCCCAAAUGGCAAGGGAACUGUCAAAGAGAGACUCCUGGGAUUAUGCUAAAAGAACUCUGAAGCCAGCUUGAAAAGGCUCCCCCUGGUCAAAGACAUGACCAUGGGAGCUUCAGGAAGGAUAAUAUUGCAUUGGAUUGAAACCCAUCUACGUUUACAUUCAUGAGUUCACAAAGAUGUUUUUAAAAACUAGUGGAUCUCCUUCGGAGGAUGAUAGGAACUGGCUUGUUAUCUUGAAACCGGUCAAGGGCGGGAAUCAAGCAGUGAUUCUGCCUUCCUGUUUCCAUUGGUAACAAACUAUAUAUAGAUGAGAGGAAGCCUCUCCUGAUGAAAGUAUCCCAACUAAUACAUUAAAAGGCAAUUGAUAGGAUUGGAAUAUCACAGUUUUGCAACCCCCAGGGAAUGAGUGGAUCUGGAUAUUGAACAUUAGUGAUACUGACAUCACAAACAGAGACCACCAGCCACAAGGAGCCUCCUGAUGGAAACACACAAGACCAAAGGGAUAGAGCCUUAGCCUGAUCCAGCCUCUGGAUCCCACUGCCAGUUUGCAGGAAAUUCCCAGGACAGAGGGCCAUGCAGCACUGCACCUGGAGUGUACAACCAGCAGAAUCCAGACUGUGGGGAACGCUACAGCAGCCCUAGGAAACAAAUGCAGAUGGGAACCGUGUUGGUUAAAGAACUGUCCAGGACAUAGGAAGCGAUGAACAUAUGACCGUAAAAACCGUAACAGUUGCAAGGACGAUUCCCUGGGGUAGAAUAGGAUCUCAUUCUCCAGAGUUGUUGAAGACAAAACGUUUCCUCUUCCUGAUCUUGCUGACAUUUCUUUCACCAGCAGCACAGUGAUUGGCACGAAGGGAAAAGAAAGGUCUGUGGAGCUCAUAACUUAUAUUAUGCAAAGGAGCGGGACAGUGCAGACUUAUCAACGCAUGGAAUAUGGGGCGUGAAAAUGUUUGCAGUGUACAUAUAAAGCCCGGGGUAGCAGACGUGGCAGUGUCUCCAGCCCCCUGACCCUCAGCAUCCCCUCCUCUGCAGAAAGCUGCUUCCCGAGAACAUCUGACUCCCCAUCGAGGGUGCUCUUUCAACUGCAGGAACACGGUCAGCCCCCCCAUCAGGGAGGACCAGAUGCCCCCCUUCCCAGCCCUGCCUCAUUCCCCUCUGCCAGCGUUUCCGGGGGUCACCUCUCAAACAACAUGUGUUCAAAUCUUUGGGUUUGGGAGAACCCAAAGCAAGACACUGAGAAAAACUCUAACGAAGUAGGAGGAGGUGUUUACCCUAAAACACCUGGUUACAGAGAACACCUGUAGCCAUUACCCGACACUUCCUCCCACCACCACUGCCCCGCCCCCAGCUCCUCCCACUCAGCAACUCUGCUGGAUGGAUAGGUGGGUGGUCCGGGAGCCCAUCCCACUCCCACUGGGGAAGUUGAGAAGGACGGGUCUCUCCCUCCCCUUGCAUAGUCCUGGCAGACCUGACAUCCUUCCACCAAAUUCCCUUUCUGUUUAAAAUAACCAGUCAGUGUCUGCUGCUUGCAGACGGGAGGUUGGUAACUGAUACAGCCAGGUGAAGCUUAGCGUUAACUGAGCACGAAACAGAGCACGGAGGUUCCUGACAGCUAAGACCAAAAGUUCAAUGCUGGGAAAAAAGUGGACAGUUCAUCAAGGGAGAAAAGCUUUUCUGUUGUUGGUUUUCAUUUGUUUGUUUGCUUUGGUAAGUUAUCAUAUCCCAUGAUGCUCGCCAG
Eubalaena glacialis (North Atlantic right whale) is the source of this 2301-nucleotide long non-coding RNA. RefSeq lists it as uncharacterized. NCBI's taxonomy places the organism in Eukaryota, Metazoa, Chordata, Mammalia, Artiodactyla, Balaenidae. The transcript has 4 exons. The record is from RefSeq and is a predicted model, not a curated record.